UUCUAAGAGCUUCAUGAGGAAGAUCUCAAUGCAUUACUUCUCUGUAGAGAAGGCUGAAAUUUGGUAGGUAGGAGGCAAGGCCACACAGAUUCCAGAACUACACAAACUCCCAUCAGUAUUUUAUUUACAGACUCUGAAAACAGGUUCCUACACUGGGAACUCAAAGGAUUCCAGUACCACAAACAAAUAAAGAUCUGCAGGUUUCUCUAGUGGUUGUCAAAGUCAGCUGCAAAGUUUGGGCAAAGCUAAUUUAUACUAAUCUGGCAUCAAAGAGAUAAAUAGACGGACACUCCUAAAAAUGAAAAACAGGAAGUUCUUUUCAAUAUCUCUAAUAUACAUACUGUUCUAUUAAAGUCUGUUUAUCUAAUUUCAUUUAAGUUUUCUGCCUCACUGAUAGUCUGAGGAUUCUUAUGCCAAGCUUCGUAAUAAGUUAAUAAAUGAAUUGAAUGCUU
Long non-coding RNA from Leopardus geoffroyi (Geoffroy's cat), 452 nucleotides. RefSeq lists it as uncharacterized. Lineage: Eukaryota; Metazoa; Chordata; Mammalia; Carnivora; Felidae. The record is from RefSeq and is a predicted model, not a curated record. The transcript has 2 exons.